Molecule: small nuclear RNA, 149 nt
Filed under: Otolemur garnettii (small-eared galago)
Lineage: Eukaryota; Metazoa; Chordata; Mammalia; Primates; Galagidae
Description: U4 spliceosomal RNA
Rfam family: U4 spliceosomal RNA
About the family: U4 small nuclear RNA (U4 snRNA) is a component of the major U2-dependent spliceosome.
Source: Rfam by way of RNAcentral
AACUUUGCACAGUGGCAGUAUGGUAGUCAAUGAGCUUUAUCCGAGGCGUGGUUAUUCUAAUUGAAAACUUUUCUGAAUAUGAGGAAAUAUGAGGAAAUAUGAUGACUUGAAAUAUACUCAUCAUUGGCAAUUUUUUUUUUUUUAUUAAA